CAGCCGUAAACUAUGCGCGUUAGGUGUACUGGUGACCACGAGUCACCGGGGUGCCGAAGGGAAACCGUGAAACGUGCCGCCUGGGAAGUACGGUCGCAAGGCUGAAACUUAAAGGAAUUGGCGGGGGGAGCACCACAACGGGUGGAGCCUGCGGUUUAAUUGGACUCAACGCCGGAAAUCUCACCGGAUAGGACAGACAUAUGAUAGUCGGGCUGAAGACUCUACUUGAUGAUCUGAGAGGUGGUGCAUGGCGUCAGUGAC
Molecule: ribosomal RNA, 261 nt
Filed under: uncultured archaeon
Lineage: Archaea
Description: partial 16S ribosomal RNA
Rfam family: Archaeal small subunit ribosomal RNA
Source: RNAcentral